Molecule: long non-coding RNA, 457 nt
Organism: Phascolarctos cinereus (koala)
Lineage: Eukaryota; Metazoa; Chordata; Mammalia; Diprotodontia; Phascolarctidae
Source: Ensembl
GGAAACCAGCUUAUUAAAGGGAACCAUGGAAACAGGAAACAUUUUCAAAAGGAAAUGGAUCUUUUGGUGCAGUGGAGGCAUGAUAUCUAGUUUUUGUGAGGGCAGCAUCCAUCUACAUCAACUCUGUGCCCUGAAGAGAAUGGAAAGAAGAGGAAAAAAAAGCAGUGGGAGACAAGUUUAUGUGAAGGGGCAGUGUAUUAUAAAACUACCUACAUCAAACGAUCUCCAGAAAGUUAAAAUGAUGCCAAUGGAAAGCAGCUGUAGCCGAGAUUCUUAUCCAAGCUCUUGCUGUCAUGUAUAUUUUCUCCUGGCCAACUGACACACAAUGAUGGUGAGAAGAAUCCUGUGGCUAGCAUUUUUGUGGCACCAAGGGACAGAAGUAAACUUGAUUAAUAUAAGACAUAUUUAAAAUGUCUGCACUCCUAGUUUUAUAAUAAAAUAAAAUUCUGAAUUAACA